ACCCCACUUUAUCAGGAAAAGCACGAGAACAGAACUUACAUGACACCUGGCUGGGAGCAAAGGCUGCUGGUUUCAAAAUAGUCAACGAUGAAUUGGCGUGGAAUCUUCCGGCUGUAGGAGAAGCAGCAGGCAGUCGGGGUGUCAGCUCCAUCUGUAGGGGAAGAAAGUCAUCAUUGAACAGGCUUUCUCUAAUACCAGAAGUCAGCAAAGAAGACACCAGAGCAUCACCAUAAGACAUCCCAGAGGCAGAGCUCCUUAAGAAUCCCAGGGCUGGCUACUUCUUUUCUCUUGUAGACUCUGAAACCACAGAAAAGACUGCUAUGGUCUGCCUUAGACCAGAGACUGGGGACACCUCCUGUAGCAGUGUAGACUCACAUGGCGCUGAGAAGACUUGGUUGCAGAGUGUCAUGGUACAGAGAAGAACAGCAAGGGCAGUGGUGGAGACCUUCAUGAUGUUGAGCAGGUGACAGAGGGUGAGCUUGUCAGCAGAACAGAAAAGGGACUGGUACUCGCUGCUGCUUGUAUCCUUCUGGUGUCUGAAGCCAUAUGCCCCUUCUCUUAUAGGUAGCCCUAGCAGAUGAGGAAAUGGAAUCCGGGGCUGAGGAGGGAAAAUUUUAAGCACAGCAAUGGUGUCAUGAUGGAUAUUACACAACCCAGGGUCCACAGUGACCACAGGGGCCCAGGAUAUCUAAGAAUAGCAUCUCUGAGAUAUAAGUCUCAGCUCUCAACUCGUGACCUAUUCUUUCUUCUUGUGGGGAAGUAGUUUCUCUUAUGAGCAGGAGGAGGUAGGACAGUGUCAACCCAGGGCUAUUCUUAGCUGGUCCCAUCUCAUGAGAACCGUUCUGUGAAUAAACACUCCAAACCCA
RNAcentral lists this long non-coding RNA (866 nucleotides) under Mus musculus (house mouse). Its description in RNAcentral is "predicted gene, 53692". The record is from RNAcentral. Lineage: Eukaryota; Metazoa; Chordata; Mammalia; Rodentia; Muridae.